This 355-nucleotide long non-coding RNA is filed under the name Pan troglodytes (chimpanzee). Its description in RNAcentral is "long non-coding RNA NONPTRT015556". Lineage: Eukaryota; Metazoa; Chordata; Mammalia; Primates; Hominidae. The record is from RNAcentral.
UGUUAGUGCCAGGUGGGUGGGAGUGGGAAUCCGUGCUCCCACUAGGCCUCUAUUGGUAGCACCUAGGCUGGGAGAGAGGCAUCUUGCUAGUGUUCCUCAAGGAAUCUUCACCGCCAGCAAGGAGGGGAGGGAGCAGACAGCAACUGAGACAUCUGACUUCCCCUUGACUUCCUCUAACACUGGCAGAUGUUCAGACGUGUCCAGAGUUUCUUCCUUCUGAUGGGUUCGUCAUCUCGCUGACUUCAGGAGUAAAGCCGCAGACCUUCGCAGCGAACAUUACAGCUCUUAAAAGUGGCGCGUCCAGAGUUAUUUGUUCCUCCUGGUGGGUUCGUGGUCUCCCUGACUUCAGGAGUGA